RNAcentral lists this ribosomal RNA (505 nucleotides) under Neelaps calonotos (black-striped burrowing snake). RNAcentral's name for it is "Neelaps calonotus (black-striped burrowing snake) partial 16S ribosomal RNA". It matches the Rfam family "Bacterial large subunit ribosomal RNA", at positions 1844 to 2608 of the family's 2925-position model. Lineage: Eukaryota; Metazoa; Chordata; Lepidosauria; Squamata; Elapidae. The record is from RNAcentral.
UAUUAAAGGCAACGCCUGCCCAGUGAACCAUUUAACGGCCGCGGUACCCUAACCGUGCAAAGGUAGCGUAAUCACUUGUCUAUUAAUUGUAGACCCGUAUGAAAGGCAUAAUGAGGGUCUAACUGUCUCUUUUAGUAAAUCAAUUAAACUGAUCCCCUAGUACAAAAGCUAGGAUAUUAACAUAAGACCAGAAGACCCUGUGAAGCUUUAAUUAACCUAUUAAACCCUAUAAUAGCUCCUUUAGGUUGGGGUGACCUUGGAAAAAAAAAGAACUUCCAAAUAUUAUAUACAUACCAUAUUUUACCUUAGGCCAACAAGCCUAUAUAACCGACCCAGCACAGCUGAUUAUUGAACCAAGUUACUCCAGGGAUAACAGCGCUAUCUUCUUCAAGAGCCCAUAUCAAAAAGAAGGUUUACGACCUCGAUGUUGGAUCAGGACAUCCUAAUGGUGCAGCCGCUAUUAAGGGUUCGUUUGUUCAACGAUUAAUAGUCCUACGUGAUCUGA